GACGAACGCUGGCGGCGUGCUUAACACAUGCAAGUCGAGCGGUAAGGCCCUUUCGGGGUACGACGAGCGGCGAACGGGUGAGUAACACGUGGGUGACCUGCCCUCAGCUCUGGGAUAAGCCUGGGAAACCGGGUCUAAUACUGGAUAUGACUCCAUGACGCAUGUUGUGGGGUGGAAAGCCUUGUGCGGCUGAGGAUGGGCCCGCGGCCUAUCAGCUUGUUGGUGGGGUGAGGCCUACCAAGGCGACGACGGGUAGCCGGCCUGAGAGGGCGACCGGCCACACUGGGACUGAGACACGGCCCAGACUCCUACGGGAGGCAGCAGUGGGGAAUCUUGCGCAAUGGGCGAAAGCCUGACGCAGCGACGCCGCGUGAGGGAUGACGGCC
RNAcentral lists this ribosomal RNA (386 nucleotides) under uncultured bacterium. Its description in RNAcentral is "bacterial SSU rRNA". It matches the Rfam family "Bacterial small subunit ribosomal RNA", at positions 28 to 416 of the family's 1533-position model. The record is from RNAcentral.